UGCGGACGCACCCAAUACGAUGCUAACUGCUAUGUUUACUAUGCAAACAGUUUUAACCAUUUGCUAACCUAUGCUGCUAUGGUUACUAUUCUAACUGUUAUUUUCCACACUUUAUGGACUUUUAGCUGAGUGGCUAUGCACUGCACCUGUCUAAUGGCAAUGUGCCAGGAUAGAGCAUCCAUAAUGCAGCAAGGAUAAAGGUAAUUUUCACAUGGGUGUUGACCAAAUGGCUUCUCCAGCAGCAGAUGGGACAGAAGUUGGACAUUGAAGACGAGGCAUGGGGAGCCCUGAGGAUGACCUGACUCUGAGAGCAGCUUUGUAUGGAAUGCUGUUCCACAUCCAGGCAGACAGCUCAGACUGGAAGGGAGCUCUGAAUCUGCUGAAGCAUGCUAUCCCCACACAAGAAACAGGUUGCUCCUGUUAAAGCACUGGGUGCUGGUGAGGGCCUGGCUAGGGGAGAGCGUUCUGCUAGACAUGCCGAAGUUCAGGGAUGAAGGGGAACUCAGUGCCACAUGUGGGAGCAAUGGAGUUGCACUGUGUGCUGGGGAAAUACUAAAGCAGCUGGCCAGCUACCAGAACUCCAUAAUCUCCCUACUGAAAAGACUGGUGCCCAAGAGAUGCAAACUGAAAGAACCGCAGAGGAGAGAAUUCCCAAGGAGGUUAUUUCCUUGUCCCAUCGUACUCUAGCAACUCCUUGUGGCGGGCCGGGCGCCUGCAAGCUGACUUCGAGCGCAAGUUGGACAGUGAUUUCUCCGAAACAUUGGUGUGGCUGGCUCCCGGGUUAAGUGAGCAGUGUGGCUUGGCAGGGUUGUGUUUUGGAGGAUGCAUGGCUCUCGACCUUCGCCUCUCCCGAGUCUGUAGGGGAGUUGCAGCGAUGGGACAAGACUGUAAUUGGAUAUUGUGAAAUAUUAAAAGGGGUGAAAGUACAAAAAAUAUAUAAUAAAGCGGUCAUACAAAAUAUUUUGCUGAGACUUAUAUGGAUAAUGUUAGAAAUAUUUGUUGGUCUGAAGUAAUUAAUUAGGAGCAUCUAGACACUCCACUUGAUGAAUUUAUGAAAUUGCAUCUUCCAAUUAUUGAUAAACAUGCACCUGUUAAACUGACUGUUAGAACUGUUAAGGCUCCACGAAUUGAUGAGGAAUUGAAAAACUGUAUGGUUGAAAGAGAUGGGGCAAACAGAGUGGCUAAUAAGUCUGGCUGCACAUCUUCCUGGCUGACUUACUGCAAAUUGAGAAAUGAUGUGACUAAACUCAACAAAAAGAAGAAGAAACUGUAUUAUGAAGCCAAGAUCAAUGAUAUAAAGAAUAAUGUUUAAAAAACUUUGGAGUACUUUAAAUGAAAAUGUGGGCAGAAAGACAAAUUCAACUCCUUUUAUUGAAUCAGAUGGCUUAUUCAUCACAAAACCAUUUGAAUUAGUUGAUUAUUGAUUACUUAAUUGGCAAAGUGGGCAAAUGAGGGCAAGAAAUGCCAACAAUAGGAAAGAGAAAGGAGGAUACCUAGUCAGUUGUCCAACUGAAUGUAUUCAACUGAAAUGUGUCUUCCGCAUUUAACCCUAGUGAGCCAUCGUACUAUCAUGACUUGACUUUCAUUAAUCUGAUGAUUUAUUUAUUUAAUC
Long non-coding RNA from Oncorhynchus tshawytscha (Chinook salmon), 1612 nucleotides. The record is from Ensembl. NCBI's taxonomy places the organism in Eukaryota, Metazoa, Chordata, Actinopteri, Salmoniformes, Salmonidae.